RNAcentral lists this transfer RNA (73 nucleotides) under Ignavibacteria bacterium. Its description in RNAcentral is "tRNA-Thr". It matches the Rfam family "tRNA". Rfam says of the family: Transfer RNA (tRNA) molecules are approximately 80 nucleotides in length. Their secondary structure includes four short double-helical elements and three loops (D, anti-codon, and T loops). Lineage: Bacteria; Pseudomonadati; Ignavibacteriota; Ignavibacteria. The record is from RNAcentral.
GCUGGCGUAGCUCAGAUGGUAGAGCGCAUCCUUGGUAAGGAUGAGGUCGGCAGUUCAAUUCUGCUCGCUAGCU